UGUAUGUAUGUAUGUGUGUGUAUGUGUGUAUGUGUGUAUGUAUCUGUCUGUCUAUCGGAGUGUGUGUUAGCAAUCAUUAGAGGACAACUUGUGGGAGUUGGUUCUCUCUUCCAUCUUGUGGGUUCCAGGGUCUGAAAUCAGGUCAACAGGCUGAGUGGAAAGCACCGUCUAAAGUAAUGAACAACUUUGAGUCAAAGGACCAUGAGAGGGCUAGACCUCAAACUACCAUAGAGUAUGUGCCGGUCACUCAGAGGAGCUGGCGUAUAAGAACAAGCCCUGUCCAAGGUAGCAGAGGGUGGAUUCUCUUCUCUGAAGGUCUGGAGCUCUGACUCAGGUUAGGUUCUCAAGUAAAAUCACAAUUGCAAGUGUAACUUCAGCUGAGAGAGGUGACCUAGAGAACUUCCAAUUUCAGAUAAGCGGUUUUAUUUUAUUUUUUAGAGAAAAUCCCUGUCCAUAUUCUGUACUCACAUCAGGAUUUAUUAAACACUGUGAAAAGAAGGAUGUAAAAUGAGCCUUCCUGGAACCUGGGGACAUACAUACACACAAGUGGGACUUGGCCAGCAGAGAAGAUUAUCAACUGAAAAUCCCUGAAGAAAAGCCUUGCCUUUGGUGAAUAUUUUAUAAGGGUGACUGUUAUGCCCAGAUAAGGACCCCCAAAGAGACCACCAGGAGACCAGAUAUAUCCAGAAUGCAAUAGCAAGGUUUACUUCUUGGCACAAUACGAGCUAGCAAGGAACCCUCGUCCGCAGUGCCUGGCGCAGCGAGGCAGGGAGGAGAGUUCCUCUUUCUUGGGGAGAUUAGCUUUUGAAGGCAAAAACCACAAAAUUCUUCAGAGGAGGGGGUUAGUACGGGUCCACCCUUGAUUGGUCCAGUUUUCCUGAGUUUGGACUUUUAUCUUAUUUUUUGCUCUGUCAGGAGUUUUACAGCCCAUCUCCAAAAUUUGGUCAUAUUAUCUCAGGGGAGGGGGGCGUCUAGUGGUUAGUUACCACCAGACAGUCUGAUUUUGUACUUUUAAAACUUCUGACUUCACCCUGUCUGGGAAUGGGGAACUGACUUAGUUCUGGCUGUUUUAAGAUGUCCCUUUCCUCAGCUCUCCGGGCCUUAGGGGGAACUGGGGUGGGGGUCUCUCAUGACUAAAUAGAACUUCUGUGAUUUCAGAGUUAGAAUUGUUAGCACUCAGGCAGUUACACUGGCCUGCGCAGGGUCCUGACGGAACACGUCAUCAAUUACAGCGGCUACAUCACUGUGUAGUCCCUGUGUGCACGAACUACACCCCCUUAAAAAGCACGCCCCGCCCCUUUCCCAAUCCUUUUCUACCUCCACUUCUCCUCAGAAGCCUCUGCUUUCCUUGCCUUCCCCCAGUAAACCUCCCAAAUGAGUUCUGUUGCGCGGUGUGACGACUCUCUCCCACUGUUAACUACAAUGUCGAUGCUAUCCGACUUGGCAGGCUCCCUUGGUGGUUCCUCCUGACCCCCAGCAGGCUGAGGCAUGCCGGGACCCUGUAAUCAGUCUACCUACAACAGCCUCACGUUUCCAACUAACCAGUCACUGGGCUCUUCAUCCAACACCAGCAGGAUUGCUGUUUACUGUGCGGCAUACACUAAACAAGGAACCUGUGGUUACCUGUUCUCAAGGAAGGAAGCCGGCAGGAAGUCAACAUAGGGAGAACAUCUGGUGAAGGUCAGCAAGCAAGGCAGCAGCUACCCAAGGAGCGGGGCCAGGGCCUGACACUUUGCAACUUUUGCCGGUGACUGGGCAAAUGGAAGGAGAGUACCACCAAGAACACCUGCUUCUCACCCUCUUCAAGUAUGUGGAUGAUCUCAUCAUCAAUGCAUGCACCCUGAAGGAGUGCCAGCAAUCUAUGAAGGAUCCGCUUGACAUGCUCCAGCUACCAAGUGUCUGCAAAAAGACCUAGUUUUCUGAAAAGGUACCUUAUCUGAGGUAAAAUAACUUAUCUAUGCUGUUGCUUAGAUGAUGACAACAGGACCCUGCCCUCCCUCAAGCAGAUACCAAGUUAUAUUACCACAGGAUAAAAGGACGGGGCAGUGCUUCAAGGUCAAAGCUGGAACAGCUACCCACUAUAACCAGCCUCUCAGGAAAGGCAGACAUGACCCUAUUGACUGAUGGAAGUGGCUAUGUACCGUAUGGAGUCAGGUCUGCAGGAGCAGCUGUGGUGACACUCACUGAGUCCUUACAGGCAUUGCAGCAGACGACCCAGGACAUCCAGAGUCUCCCACCUCCACCACCAUCCCUACCUUUUACUCGAUCAGCACACAAGUUUCAACCUGGGAAUUGGUGUGGGUUUCCUGCCUACCAAGCAAAACCUGGAACCUGGGAGGGGCUGUCAUCCUGACCACCAUUCCAAUCUAAAGACCGACAUGACCUGCCCCCCCCCAAAAAAAAAUAAAAUAAAAAAUAAAAGUGGAGGGUACCCUGA
Non-coding RNA from Peromyscus maniculatus bairdii (prairie deer mouse), 2437 nucleotides. Lineage: Eukaryota; Metazoa; Chordata; Mammalia; Rodentia; Cricetidae. The record is from RefSeq and is a predicted model, not a curated record.